This 441-nucleotide ribosomal RNA is filed under the name uncultured bacterium. RNAcentral describes it as "partial 16S ribosomal RNA". It matches the Rfam family "Bacterial small subunit ribosomal RNA", at positions 338 to 795 of the family's 1533-position model. The record is from RNAcentral.
CCUACGGGGUGCAGCAGUGGGGAAUAUUGCACAAUGGGGGAAACCCUGAUGCAGCAACGCCGCGUGAAGGAAGACGGUUUUCGGAUUGUAAACUUCUGUUCUUAGUGAAGAAUAAUGACGGUAGCUAAGGAGCAAGCCACGGCUAACUACGUGCCAGCAGCCGCGGUAAUACGUAGGUGGCAAGCGUUGUCCGGAUUUACUGGGUGUAAGGGGAGCGCAGGCGGGAAGCCAAGUCAGCUGUGAAAACUACGGGCUUAACGUGUAGACUGCAGUUGAAACUGGUUUUCUGGAGUGAAGUAGAGGUUGGCGGAAUUCCGAGUGUAGCGGUGAAAUGCGUAGAUAUUCGGAGGAACACCGGUGGCGAAGGCGACCAACUGGGCUUUAACUGACGCUGAGGCUCGAAAGUGUGGGGAGCAAACAGGAUUAGAUACCCUAGUAGUC